Non-coding RNA from Taeniopygia guttata (zebra finch), 7019 nucleotides. NCBI's taxonomy places the organism in Eukaryota, Metazoa, Chordata, Aves, Passeriformes, Estrildidae. The record is from RefSeq and is a predicted model, not a curated record.
AUGUAGGAGUCAGAUUUGGGUCUGUACCCCUGAUUCACAGAGCUCUCAAUAAAAGCACCUGCAGAUAAUCCUACCCUGUGAUUAUGUGUGUUCUGGAACGCUAACACCAUCAUUUCAGGAGCUCCCACCAGACUGGCUCUGAGAGCCUUUCCACAUGCAGUGGAGCCCUCCAGGGAUCUGCAGAGGCCACAGUUCCACCAGAGCUCUCUUUUCUUGAAGCAAAGUGUUGGAAAAGAGCUUGACAGGCUCUGACUUCAAGACUCUGCAAUUUGGGGAAGCUCAGUCCCUCUACUCAUAACUUCUCAUUCAGAAAGAAGAUGCCUUUCAGGAACCAUUUUUAAAUGUCUUUUAAUUUUUAAAUGCUUUAGUUCCUUCCCUGCAAAUCCAUCUCUCUGCUUUUGUGCACCAUCUAGUAACGUGCUUCCACACAGCCAUUUCUGAGUGUGCAAUAUCAACAUCUGUGCUAAAACCAAAGAGAAAUUUCUCCCUGAAGCAAAAUUUUGCUCUGUAUUAUUGUUACUUUUUUUUCCCUAUUUAAUGAUUUGCUUGUCAUGGGGCCUCUUCAGCCUCUUAUUUUCAGGAAAUGAAGAUUCUCUGCCUCUCGCUCCUUGUCAAAGACACCCUGGUAGGAGAGAGCAUCAUCACCCUUGUCCCAUCUCCUAAAAGCAUUUUACUUAGUGUCCAAUAAAACUGUGCUGCAGUAAAGCACCUCACUGAACUGGGUGCCUGAUAUGCAGCAGGUUGGCAGAAUUAAUUUAUUGGUGUUUGUACAGCCUUUUGAACUUCUCUUGUUACAUAGGUGUCAAUAAUGAUAAUAAAAAUAAAACCAUUAUUUUAUUAUUAUUUUUAUUAUUAUUGUGACUUUCUAUCAUAGCCAAUGAUGAACAUUCCCCUGUGCAGAUAUUUAAGAUAUCCAGUGGGAGAUGCUUUGUUCUUAAUUUUGAUUAUUUUAAGAAGUCCUUUAGCACAUCAAAUAAUCUCCCUAGGCAAGGAUUUAUAGGAAGGUCUUGAGAGCUGUCAGAGUAGUGUUUUUCCAGCAGUAAAAACUCAACCUCCUCUUUGAUUUUCAUUUGUAUUUUGUCCUGGGUGUAGCUGCAGCAAGUGCUCGGUCACAGCCAUCAGGAUGGAGGAGACGUGUUGUCAGUUGUUUUAUUUUUGAUCCCAUUUGAAUGUGUCAGUCAACUGCCUCGAAUCAAAGAAAGUGAGAAGGAGCCUUUAACAGUUGUGAUUGAAAACUUCAGACUUACCUUUUUUUUUCUUAUUUUUAUAGAUACUAAGUAAAUGGUUGGCAGGUUCUUGUGAAUCAUAACAUUUCUAAAUAUAUCAAAGAGGCUUUUUGCCAAGCUGCUGGAGAAGGUGGUGUCUGCUCCUAUUGACUCCUUUCUCCCCUUCAGAUUACUUUUGCAUUUAAUAAUCAUAAUGAAAAGAAUCAAGGACUCUUAACUAGGCUGGCUAAGGCUGUGAUUAAUGAAAGUGUAAUGCAAGCUACUGUACAGCCAUUAGAAACCAGUUAGCUAAUUAGUGUAAUCACAGAGGUGGAAAUAAUUAAGAGACCAUAAAAUAGAGGUAACCUAAUAACAAUGUUUUUCUCUGACCCAGAACUGGCGAGAAAAGGAUGCUUUGUUAGGUUAGGAACAGAGAGGAGUGAAGAUGGAAUAUUCUGUGAGUAAUCACUGUCAGGGAGGUCUCAGAGCACAGACAAGUAGAACACAGCAGAUUUUACUCCAACAUAAUCCAGAUUGCAGCAGAAUCCUCUGGCAAUGGUGCUUCACACCUCUGCAUCCCUCUCCCAUCCUAUGCACUGCCACAAUUCAGUGACAGACAAUCAAGACAGCGUGAGGCAGGAGCUGGCUGCCUUGUUCUGUCUUACUUUGUUCCCUUUCUUCUUUCCUAGGUUAUUAGCAAAUAUAAUAUUAAAACUAACUUCACCUUGCAGUGCCAGGUUUGAUUUCAGGAAAAGGAGAAAUCAGUGUCCUAAGGUGUUUAAGAAGAAAAUCCUGUUAGAGGAUUCACUAUAUUUAUAGAGCUCCUAGUGUAUUCAUGUAUGUUAUUCACUAUAGCUUCACAGGACUCUACAGAGUCUUUCUGGGCAGAGAAUGAUGCAGUGAUCCAUAAGGGUGGCAGUCACUUCCAGAGCUGCUCCCAGGACAUGGGUGCCAACCAGAUGUUUCAUCCCUUCACCCCUCACCUGCUGCUUUUGCACCCAGCACACUGGAUGCUGCACAACCCCAAAAUGUGCCUGAGCACUCCCCAUGUGGGACUGUCCAGGUCCAUGAGAGGUGGGCUGGAUCUCACCCUUGGGGAUUAGAAGUGACCUAUGUCUGGCUGGUGGAUGAAACAGCUCCAUGUAAGAGGCAAUAAAAAUUCCUAACCCAUAAUUUUCCAUCUGGAAUGGGUCACCACUAUGCCCAUCUCCAUUGGUUCUUAGCAUUUCUGCCACGGUUUGUGUGUGUUUCGUUUGACCUGGGUCUAAUGAGCAGAGAAGAGGAACGGAGCUGCAGACACACAAUCAAGGCUCAGCCGCCAAGGCUGAUGAGUCUGCCGAGACUGCUAAGUGGGUCUUCAUUAGCUAUUCACAAGCGAAGAGCAGCCCUUAUUUAUUCUUCUUGCCUAGGUGAAUCUAUUUUUGAAUAUCUUUUGUAGUGAUCUUGUCUGGGGAGGGUGGCGGGGAGAUCGGAUGGAGGGCACCACUCCUGCCAGUUAACUGGAUUGUUGUCCUGGAAAAACAGGCUGUGACACCAAGCUGGCAGCAAGCUGCAAAGAGGAAACAAUGUGAUGCCAUUUGGAGAAGGAAGGAAUCAUUUUCCCCAGUGACAUCUCUGGUGGGAGGCAGAACUUUAUCUUCUCUUUGCAGCUCAAAUGAAGCAUCUCAGCAGUAGCAUUAACUGCACCUCCAGGUUUGCACUUUGUCUUUUCAUUAACUUUUCUUUUCUUUUUGUGCUGUAGCAGGGAACACGCUUUCCAGGGAGGGUUUGUGGUGAGCCACUGGAGCUGCAAGCCCAGGAUGUCCCAGGUGGGUCCCCAGGCUGUGGCACAUGUGGCGCUGCUGCAGCCAAAUGGACGAGCCUGGUGGUCUGCAGUGAAGAAGGGAAAACCGAUUUAUGUCUGCCAGUCUGGUGGAGAGGGGAUUUCGGAGCAGCAGGUCAUGGUGAGCCUUGCUCCAGGUGUGCUUUCAUCCCUCCAGCUCGGACAUGUGCAUCACGUCCUGGGACAUCCUUGCAGACGGGGCAGUGCUUGACCUCCGGCAGCACCAGUGGUUUUUGUUUCAUAUGAACAAGCCACUUUUCCACGCUGGGCACUUAAACGCUCUCCUUUGAGCUUCUCCUCGGGCUGGGCUGGGCCGGUGGGGUGCGGAUCCUCCCGCCCUCCCUGCCCGUGGCCAAGGCUGCCCUCUCCCGACGCGCCGGGAUCCGAGGGAUGCGGCGGCUGAGCCGGGCCAGCAUCCCCUGCCGGAGCCCCCAAUGCUGCACCGUGCCCAGCCCAGCGCUGUCCCGCACAUCGGCACACACCAGCCCGGCCCCGGCAUCCCCCGAGCUGCCCGGCCCCGGCAUCCCCCGAGCUGCCCGGCCCCGGCAUCCCCCGAGCUGCCCGGCCCCGGCAUCCCCCGAGCUGCCCGGCCCCAUCACCGCCUGCCUCUGAUGUGGAUCCAACCCGGAUCCAACCCGCACCGCGCUCCGGCACCGCGGGGAUGCUGCUUGAGGAACCUCCUGCUGGUUUCCUUUUUACCCGACCGAUCCCAGCCCUUCCAAUCUGCCCAGUGCCUUCUUGCUUUUCGUUUCGUUUUUAUGAUCUGGUAGUGUAGGUGUGAAUCCCGUACUCCUCUGAGUUAUUUUUUGCCAGCUGAGUCUGUUUGUGCUGCAGACUGUGUGGGUGUCACCCUCGGGAAAGCCGCGUUUAGCAGUGCACUGCUCCAGGAAAAUGUUUUUAUAUUAACAGAGAUGUGAGACAAACUCUUGCACCUCUGGGGCUGGCAAACAGCUGAUCCAGGAGAGAUGACUUUUUUUUUUUCCCCCCCUUGUGAUUUUGACCUUAUUUGCUGAAAGUGAAAUAUCAUCCAGCCUUCCAGGAAAUACCACAAAUCUUCUAUCUGACAUGAGAACAUAAAUCUUCAGUAAGGGUUCAUCCAUUCUGCAUCUCAAGCCUCCAGAACCGAGUUGUGGACACUGGUGUUGGAAUCUCAGCCUCCUGAAUCCAGGGCUGCUGAACCUCAGCCCCUGCACCUCCCCAGCUUGGAGAAAAACAUCCCCAUGGGGUUGGCCCUUACUGAGCUGGUUCUGCACCAGUUCCUCUUAGAAAAAGUGGGGGGGGAUUUGCCUGAAUCACCUUGAAUCUCUUAAUUUUUUGUGGGAGACACGAAACCCUUCCCCUCCAGCUCUGUGUGUCUGGCAGAAAUGAAACACAGCUUUACAGCCCAGAGUAACCCACCUUCCCAUGCUUCAGCCUCCCCAUAUCACCUCCCAGGAGAGGCUGUUGCACUGUAGAGGGUUCAGGCUCUGCACCCCACGCUCAGCAGGACAGCCCCAGCUCACACCUCUGAAAGCAUAUUUCCUGAGAGCUUGCCUGUGGGUCCCUGACUUUGCCUUUGUGCACCAGCCUUUGUGGGUUGUGACCCCCCCUGCUUUUUGGGGACCACAAAGUCCUUUCUGAGAAGGCAGUGGAGCAGCCAUGGGGCUCACAUGUGGUUAUUUUAAGAUAACAGGUUAUUUGUGGGAAGACGUGGCUGCAAAAUUUUCCACCUCCCAUCCUCCACGAGUGGUUUAGGAGGUGUUUUUUGCUCAAGAAAUUUGUGCUUUUAUUUUUGGUCCCCUCGGGCUGUAUCCCUCAGUGUGCAAAUCUCUUUGUUUCAUGGCUUUUUCCCAGAGCAGGGGCACCCCAAACUCCACUGGAGCCAGGGAAGGACUCAGAGCCACCUUUGCAUUUUGCUGUGUGUCCUUCUGGAUCAGUUCAGUGACAUUCCCAACCCUCAGCGAGAUGGGGAUUGUGGCUUUAACUGAGCCGGCAAUGAUCCCUUCCAAAGGCUCCAAACAGCAAAAGUUUUUUGGUUUUUUUAUUGCCUGGACCACUUUUCCCUAUUUUACCACUAGAUGGGAGAGUGAGACUGGGCUAACUCAGCUGCUCCCCUCCUUAUCCCGGUAGGAAUUCGGAGAGGAGAACUGAGAGAUGCCUGAAGGUCACUCGCAAAUCCUCCCACCUCAGCAUCGGGGAACUCCCACAAUGGCUGCUUGUUGCUUAACCCCAAAAGUGCACUGUUAGGGGCACUAAGGCUUGCCUGGUGCUUUCCCAAAAUACCCCGUGGAUCCCACUCUGCCCUCAUGGAAGGGGCAUUCACUUACACAAAAGACUGGAUAUAUUCUUGGGGCAAAACACUUCAUAUUUUUCCUCAAAUCCGUCUGUCCUAGAGCAAAGGGAGAUAGGGGAAGCACUUGCAAUUCACUCCUCUCAUCCGUACCCCAAAUUCUGCCUCCCAGGAAUCCAGGUGACCCCAAAAAUUGUUUGGAGAAGUUAAAAAGUCACAGAAUCGCAGAAUGGUUGGGGCUGGAAGUGACUUUUGGAGAUGAUCUAGUCCAACACCCAAGAGCACUCCCACGUGCAGCUGAGGAGCUCCUGUGCACACUGGGACAGAGGAAGGAGCCCUUGAGCUGCUGACAGCCUGCCCAGAACAGCAGACCCAGACCUGAGAGGGGCCAGGGCGUUGAUGGCAACAGCACCCAGAACACACCAGCGGUGUGGCUUUGCUAAUCUAGGCUGCUUUCUGCCAAAAACCAACAGCUACAAAAGCAUUGUGUUCAUCAUCAUCAUCCCAGUGAAAAUCUCCCUUUAAACUGCUCAGGCUGAAAUGUCCUUGUGGGGGAUGCAGAGCUGCUGGGCCACGCUCUGCUCAGACUCUGCAGGGACAGACCUACAGCUGCUGCACUCAGCUUCAGUGUGUGCUCCCUUCAGAUGAUGGUGUCUUUGGACUCUGCUAUCAUUCUUGAAAUUUUAAUGUCAUAUUUCCUUCCAAUAAAACUCAGCUGGAGUGCAAGAACUCACUUCUGUUUCUCUCUUAGGAAAGGAAGGCCGCGGUGUCUGCACAUCACCUAAGGGGAAGGAUCUGAGGAAAAAGAGCUCAGACCCUUCAGAAAUCUUUCAAAGAGAACCCCCAGCUCUCCUUUAUCUCUUUUAAAAUUAACACAUCAUACUUUGCACAUGUUAAACAACAAAGUUCCUGAUAUAGCUUCUAAAAACCCCCAGGCCCAGUGGGGUAGUGCCAUUAUUUUAUAAAGAGGGUGACACUCCCCUGGCCAGUGACAGCCAGCACCUCAGGGACACCCUGAAUUAGAGGUUUCCACAGAGAUUAUGGGGUCUAACAGCCACCAAAGCAUGUGUCACCCAUGAAUUUGUAUAAUUCUUCCUUAAACACAGUUACACUUUUGGCUCUGUGAUGGCUCGGCCACCAGUUGCUGUUGUUUAAUCAGCAGCUACUACAAACAUCCUACCUCACCCUUUCAUUUACAGGAACCUUUGCUCUUGUAAUAAUGAAGGCAACUCACAGAUCGGGGCAGGAGAGAUUCUGAUGGUUCAGUUUGCAAAGACAACAGGGUAACACAGAGGUUGGUAAAAUCCCAGGGGGGAUUUCAGAACUGCUACUCUCACUGCAAGCCAGCACCAGCAGUCUUGAAAAAUCCCAUCUUUAUUUGUUAUUUAUUAUAUGUUUCCUAUGAAUGAAUUAUAAUAAAACACUAAAAAUUCUACUUUUGGGGAAAAAAAAAAAUCCAGAUCUGUUCUUCCUUCCUGAAGAUUUGCUGCUCGUUCUGCAACAGGAGAUGUGAAUUAUAGAAGUAUUAAUAACAGCAGUAUCAGGAAAUGAUCAUUCAGGCACCAGAAAUCCAUAUGAGACAUUAUGGCUUUAAAUAAAUUGUUCAUCGCUAUGUUAAUCUAAUCUUGUAAAUACGUGCACACUUAACUAUAUUAAAAAUGUAAAUGCUCCCAGACCUGGACUUCACAUGAUGAAUAAACAACUCCCCUUUUUUGCCUUGUCA